Molecule: ribosomal RNA, 727 nt
Filed under: uncultured bacterium
Lineage: Bacteria
Description: bacterial SSU rRNA
Rfam family: Bacterial small subunit ribosomal RNA
Source: RNAcentral
AGGAUUAGAUACCCUGGUAGUCCACGCCGUAAACGUUGGGCGCUAGAUGUAGGGACCUUUCCACGGUUUCUGUGUCGUAGCUAACGCAUUAAGCGCCCCGCCUGGGGAGUACGGCCGCAAGGCUAAAACUCAAAGGAAUUGACGGGGGCCCGCACAAGCGGCGGAGCAUGCGGAUUAAUUCGAUGCAACGCGAAGAACCUUACCAAGGCUUGACAUACACCGGAAACGGCCAGAGAUGGUUGCCCCCUUGUGGUCGGUGUACAGGUGGUGCAUGGUUGUCGUCAGCUCGUGUCGUGAGAUGUUGGGUUAAGUCCCGCAACGAGCGCAACCCUCGUUCUAUGUUGCCAGCGCGUUAUGGCGGGGACUCAUAGGAGACUGCCGGGGUCAACUCGGAGGAAGGUGGGGAUGACGUCAAAUCAUCAUGCCCCUUAUGUCUUGGGCUUCACGCAUGCUACAAUGGCCGGUACAAAGGGCUGCAAUACCGUGAGGUGGAGCGAAUCCCAAAAAGCCGGUCCCAGUUCGGAUUGAGGUCUGCAACUCGACCUCAUGAAGUCGGAGUCGCUAGUAAUCGCAGAUCAGCAACGCUGCGGUGAAUACGUUCCCGGGUCUUGUACACACCGCCCGUCAAGUCAUGAAAGUCGGUAGCACCUGAAGCCGGUGGCCCAACCCUUGUGGAGGGAGCCGUCGAAGGUGGGAUCGGUAAUUAGGACUAAGUCGUAACAAGGUA